Hemicordylus capensis (graceful crag lizard) is the source of this 671-nucleotide long non-coding RNA. RefSeq lists it as uncharacterized. The transcript is spliced from 5 exons. NCBI's taxonomy places the organism in Eukaryota, Metazoa, Chordata, Lepidosauria, Squamata, Cordylidae. The record is from RefSeq and is a predicted model, not a curated record.
UUGGCAGGCCCCAGCAAGCCAGGAAGGAGGCUGGCAGAGCUCCCUGCAGCAGACCAGACCAUCCAGCACAGCUUUUGCAAGGGAAAGUCUCUAAUGUAUAUCAUUGGGAUAUUUGGUGUGAAGUGAAAAUGGCCACAGAUUUAAUUAAAAUGGGAGGAAAAUGCUACGGUAUUUUUAUCAUCCAUCAAGCUGCUUACCAUUGUGUUAAGGUUGGGCCGUGUGCAGCCACCAUACAUCACAGGAUAGCUUUGAUUCUGAAGUCAGGACCAGGAGGGCCCAACAGUGAACAGGAUGUAAGAGACAUAAGAUUCACUCCUCAGCUGAAAACAUUGAUGUGACAAACGUUACAGAAAAAUUAAUUAGAAAUAAAAAGCCACAAUCAGACCUUAAAAAGUUAACAAAAGGAUUUUCUGCUAUAGAGUGAAUGUGGAUUUUGGAAACAACUGAAUCACCGCAGACUUUUUUGCAGUUUGGAACGUUUUACAAUAUUUCCCCACGGUUUCAACUCCUUAAAAAAAAAAAAGGGCAACAAGAUGACAUAAGCAUAUGCUCCUUUGCACUAAAAACUGUUUCUCAACCUCUAAAUGCCUUAUUGUCUUGAAAUGACAAAAUUACACUUGCCGAACCUUUCAAAGGAGGGAAUCUGAAAUUACGGCUAUCGCAAAUAAAUU